CGGUGACCUGGAUCAGCUUUAAGAAAACUACAGACGUAACGACUGUCCAUCCACAAAUGGAAACAACAGCAAGAGCUUGAAUCCCAAGCUGUCGAAAAUCACCAGACUAAAAUUACUUACAUAAACCAACCCUGGGCGAAUUCUGUCCAGUUGCAUGGCGUCAGUCAGCUCGUCUUUCUCAGUAAGAAAUCCGGAUGCAAGUAGACUAAACAUCCCACUAGCAGCAUGAGUUCCGACACAGCCUGAAAUAAAGCUUCGUUUCCAAAACAACCAGGAGUAUCUUGGUCGAAAUUGGUUUGUACUAACUUAUAUAGGUGAAAUUGUGAAAAGUAAGCAAAUAGUAAAUAGUGAUAAUGAGCAAAGAAGCUUUUAGAACAAAUGUGAAAUUUCUAGCCCUGAAGUCAGGUUGGGCUUUAAUGGUCACAGUGAAUAAGCAAUACUUUCAAUAUCUUAAUAUUCUUUACUACUGGACAAACAGCAGACAAACUGAGCCGGACCCAAACAUUUCAAAGAAAGGUUUUACAGAGGUGGCGCAAAACUAGAAAUCGACGCAAGACCAGA
Molecule: long non-coding RNA, 561 nt
Organism: Magallana angulata
Lineage: Eukaryota; Metazoa; Mollusca; Bivalvia; Ostreida; Ostreidae
Exons: 3
Source: RefSeq, a predicted model, not a curated record